This 2313-nucleotide ribosomal RNA is filed under the name Triticum aestivum (bread wheat). RNAcentral describes it as "partial small subunit ribosomal RNA". The record is from RNAcentral. Lineage: Eukaryota; Viridiplantae; Streptophyta; Magnoliopsida; Poales; Poaceae.
AUGUUCGAUGUGUGGAGUGCUGUGGGAUGGUGGGACAGGUGGCAGCUGCGCAUCCUGGUCCUCGGCAGCCUCGGCAUUCAAUGGUUUCUAAUGGUGGCUGCCCCCAUGCGCAAGUACACCGUCCGGCGCUCCUUCAGGCUAUGCAUAUGGCUUGCAUACAUUAGUAGCGAUGCUGUGGCCAUCUAUGCGCUGGCCACCCUCUUCAACCGUCACGCCAGGGCGACCAGCAGCAGCAGCAGCUGCGAUGGCAUUGCGCACAACAAGGCCAAGAUCCUGGAGGUCCUAUGGGCUCCUGUCCUGCUCAUCCAUCUCGGCGGGCAGGAGGAGCUGACCGCCUACACCAUCGAAGACAACGAGCUGUGGACAAGGCACACCGUGACCCUAGUGUCCCAGGUCGCGGUUGCCAUGUACGCCUUCUACAAGUCCUGGCCUAACCCCGGCGACUGGAAGCUAUUGGCAUCAGCGGUCCUGCUCUUCGUCAUCGGGGUCGUCAGUUUCAGUGAGAAGCCAUGGGCCCUCAAGAAAGCCAGCAUUAAUAGACUGGCGUCAGUGUCGGCGACCAUACAAGGAACACAGAAGCGCACAAGAUUGGCGGUGUACUUGGACGAUCUCUUGUUCUCCGAUUGGUACAACUGCUCCACCACCAAGUCCGGCGAGAAGAGUAGCCUGCUUGCAGGUGUGGGUUGGCACAACUGCUUCUCCUUCACCGAGUCGGCGACCAAGAAGCAGCAGACGGAGCCGGAGGCGGGUGAGGAGGAUAAUGUGGGCUUGUCGGACGGAGAUAAAGUCUACAUGGUGCUCUCAGACAUGUCGCUCUCAGCUGCUGCCGAUGACCUUGUACAACGAGGCAGAGCUCGAAAUGUCCGGGACGUUCUUCGGCCUCUGAGCACCAAGGCGGAGAAGGAACUCAAGCGCUGGCUGCGUGGUGCGUUUGGGCUCAUAUAUACCAGAGCCAAUUUGGUUUUCACUCGCAAGUACCUGGUUUACCAUGUGCUGGUGGUGCCCAUCCUGCACAUCGCCGCCCUCACGCUGUUUGCGAUGAGCGGCAAGGAUGGGUACAACCGCACGGACAUGAAGAUCACAUACAUCCUCCUGUGCCUCACCGCCGCGCUGGAUGUUUUUGCGGUCUUCAUCCGCCAGCUACUGUACCGGGCCAUGUCUGCAAAGAGUGUCCCGGCGUUGUGCGAGACGGUACCAGGCUACAACCUCGUAGACGCGGUUCUCCGGCGGAGGCACAAGGACAUUGGGUGGCUGGUCAAGUGCGCCACCCGCAUGGGCUGCAAGGAGGAGUGCUUCGACUACUGUAAGUGCGAAGGCGGCGGUCAAGACUACACAUUGUACAAGAAUGUGUCGCAGAUGGUCCUUGCAGAUCUGGUGGAUACAAAGGACCGCGACCUUGCCAAUUACAGGGUCUUUACGGUGCCAGAAGAAUCACUGCCGGUGGAGGAUGCUGAGGCAGGUGCCGAGAUAAUGCAGCAGAGCAGCCCGGGAGUGGCCAAUUGGGCUCUAAGUGAGGAGCUGCAGAGGGUGUGCGGCCCCAAGGUACGGGGCGCCCUGCGCGGGUCGUUCGACAGGAGCGUCCUCGUCUGGCACAUCGCCACCGACCUCUGCUUCCGCAUGGAAGAUACUCCUCCCCCCAACUACGAGGAAGAUCCACACUGGCUUCGCAUCAAGUGCACGGAAGCAAUAUCCAGCUACAUGGCCCGGCUGCUGAAUUUCCACCCGGACAUGCUGCUCACCGGCAGCAGGCAGCACCUGGUCAGUGAAGCCAAGGAUGAAUUCGAGUUCUUCUUGAACCUCGCCAUGGUAGGUAACAGCGGCAAGCCUCUCAGCAAAGACGACCUGACCAACAUCAUCGAUCACGGGCCGGAAAGGGAACGCUUCCGCAUGCAGGUGCCCAUCGGCAUCGAUAAUGAAGCUCAAGACAAGGAGGUGAUAAGAUCUUUGUUCCACGUCCCCAAGGCAUGCAGUCUCGCAAAGGAGCUGCUGAAACUUGAACCGCCGUCCACGCGCUGGAGGGUGAUGUACCGGGUGUGGCUGGGCAUGCUCUUCUACUCCGCCAGCAUGUGCAGGGGAUACCUGCACGCUAAGAGCUUGGGUGAAGGUGGUGAGUUCCUCUCCUACGUCUGGCUCGUCCUCUCGCUCAAGGGUGCCAAGACCCUGGCCGACAAGCUUCAGAUGCUGAAGGGAGACGACGAGGAACCAACACCGGCCGACAAGCCUCAGAUUCUGGAGGGACCGGAGCCGAGGAACCAACAGCCUGAUCGAUGCCCACAACUACCUGGUUUGGAAAUCCCCCGUCCAGAUGCUUGA